This 201-nucleotide ribosomal RNA is filed under the name Parengyodontium album. RNAcentral describes it as "partial 18S ribosomal RNA". It matches the Rfam family "Eukaryotic small subunit ribosomal RNA", at positions 1591 to 1789 of the family's 1831-position model. Lineage: Eukaryota; Fungi; Ascomycota; Sordariomycetes; Hypocreales; Cordycipitaceae. The record is from RNAcentral.
UAUUGCUCUUCAACGAGGAAUCCCUAGUAAGCGCAAGUCAUCAGCUUGCGUUGAUUACGUCCCUGCCCUUUGUACACACCGCCCGUCGCUACUACCGAUUGAAUGGCUCAGUGAGGCGUCCGGACUGGCCCAGGGAGGUGGGCAACUACCACCCAGGGCCGGAAAGCUCUCCAAACUCGGUCAUUUAGAGGAAGUAAAAGU